GCACUGUCACAGCAGCCCACUCCAGCACAUGCACUGUCAGUCACGUGUGUGAAAUAAAUGCACCUACAGGACAAUUGGGCAUUGCACAUAGGAUAACACCCGUAAAAUGGAGUGAAAAAACAGGCCUUUAUUUGCAGUCUGCAUUGUACAUUGUGCUUGAUGCCCCAUUUGACUACACAAUUGACAUGACAGAAUUGAGGAAAUGGUGGUGCGUCAUGUUAAUGGAGAACUUUGGACUGGACCGAGAAGUCCAAAGCCUUCAGCAGCCUGUUAGGAUGCAAAAAAGGAAGUUGGAAAAAAUCUCUCAGGAAGAGCCUUUUGACGGACAGGUAACUUCUCAGGGUAGAUGAAACCAAUCUUUUCAUCUGUGAGUUUGCAUCGGAGAAGCAGGUGGUUCAGUCUCCUCGAAAAAGCGUGUCAUAACGGAUCUUACAAACUGCCAGUCAGUGGUGCUUGGAGAACUCUGGGGAUCUUCUUGGAUCAGUUCAGCUUCCACUUAUAAUGUGCAUGGAGGAUGAUGAUGAAGCUGCAGAGGCCUUGGAAGAGUUCUUCAGUACAGAUGUCAUAGAACAUGAUAGUGUAGAGCCUAUGAUGUUUGUUUUUACUUUUAUGCAGGGCAUGCGUACAUUUUUUGAGAAUGUGGUGGACAAAAUGCAUCUAAGAGUCUUUUGUCGAGUACAAAAUUGAACAGGGUUG
Triplophysa dalaica is the source of this 696-nucleotide long non-coding RNA. RefSeq lists it as uncharacterized. Lineage: Eukaryota; Metazoa; Chordata; Actinopteri; Cypriniformes; Nemacheilidae. The transcript is spliced from 8 exons. The record is from RefSeq and is a predicted model, not a curated record.